GACGAACGCUGGCGGCGUGCUUAACACAUGCAAGUCGAACGAAGUGGCGAACGGGUGAGUAACGCGUAAUCAACCUGCCCUUCAGAGGGGGACAACAGUUGGAAACGACUGCUAAUACCCCAUACUGAAGGAGGGGAUUGCGUCUGAUUAGAUAGUUGGAGGGGAAACGGCCAACCAAGGCGAUGAUCAGUAGCCGGUCUGGGGGGGUGAACGGCCACAAUGGGACUGAGACACGGCCCAGACUCCUACGGGAGGCAGCAGUGGGGAAUCUUCCGCAAUGGACGAAAGUCUGACGGAGCAACGCCGCGUGAGUGAUGACGGCCUUCGGGUUGUAAAGCUCUGUUAAUCGGGACGCGGUACCGGAAUAGAAAGCCACGGCUAACUACGUGCCAGCAGCCGCGGUAAUUC
RNAcentral lists this ribosomal RNA (408 nucleotides) under uncultured bacterium. Its description in RNAcentral is "partial 16S ribosomal RNA". It matches the Rfam family "Bacterial small subunit ribosomal RNA", at positions 28 to 526 of the family's 1533-position model. The record is from RNAcentral.